CCAAUAGCGUAUAUUAAAGUUGUUGCAGUUAAAAAGCUCGUAGUUGAAUUUCGGGACUAAUAUGUCGGUCGUGCCUCGGUACGUACUGGUAUUUUUGGUUUCUCCCUUCUGACGAACCUUGAUGUCAUUAAUUUGGUGUCUUGGGAAAUCAGGACUGUUACUUUGAAAAAAUUAGAGUGUUUAAAGCAGGCUCACGCUUGAAUACAUUAGCAUGGAAUAAUGAAAUAGGACGGUUGAUUCUAUUUUGUUGGUUUCUAGGAUCGACGUAAUGAUUAAUAGGGAUAGUUGGGGGCAUUAGUAUUCAAUUGUCAGAGGUGAAAUUCUUGGAUUUAUUGAAGACUAACUACUGCGAAAGCAUUUGCCAAGGAUGUUUUCAUUAAUCAAGAACGAAAGUUAGGGGAUCGAAGACGAUCAGAUACCGUCGUAGUCUUAACCAUAAACUAUGCCGACUAGGGAUCGGAUGAUGUUAAUUUUUUAAUGACUCAUUCGGCGCCUUACG
This 499-nucleotide unclassified non-coding RNA is filed under the name uncultured Glomus. RNAcentral describes it as "SSU rRNA". It matches the Rfam family "Eukaryotic small subunit ribosomal RNA", at positions 591 to 1092 of the family's 1831-position model. Lineage: Eukaryota; Fungi; Glomeromycota; Glomeromycetes; Glomerales; Glomeraceae. The record is from RNAcentral.